CCUACGGGGCGCUGCAGUGAGGAAUAUUGGCCAAUGGGCGCGAGCCUGAACCAGCCAAGUCGCGUGAGGGAAGACGGUCCUAUGGAUUGUAAACCUCUUUUGUCGGGGAGCAAAAGACGCCACGCGUGGCGUUCCGAGAGUACCCGAAGAAAAAGCAUCGGCUAACUCCGUGCCAGCAGCCGCGGUAAUACGGAGGAUGCGAGCGUUAUCCGGAUUUAGUGGGUUUAAAGGGUGCGCAGGCGGAAGAUCAAGUCAGCGGUAAAAUUGAGAGGCUCAACCUCUUCGAGCCGUUGAAACUGGUUUUCUUGAGUGAGUGAGAAGUAUGCGGAAUGCGUGGUGUAGCGGUGAAAUGCAUAGAUAUCACGCAGAACUCCGAUUGCGAAGGCAGCAUACCGGCGCUCAACUGACGCUCAUGCACGAAAGUGUGGGUAUCGAACAGGAUUAGAUACCCUUGUAGUC
This 459-nucleotide ribosomal RNA is filed under the name uncultured bacterium. Its description in RNAcentral is "partial 16S ribosomal RNA". It matches the Rfam family "Bacterial small subunit ribosomal RNA", at positions 338 to 795 of the family's 1533-position model. The record is from RNAcentral.